AGAAUCAACGCUGGCGGCGUGCCUAACACAUGCAAGUCGAACGAGAAAGUGGAGCAAUCCAUGAGUAAAGUGGCGCACGGGUGAGUAACACGUGACUAACCUACCCUUGAGUGGGGGAUAACCUAGGGAAACCUGGGCUAAUACCGCAUAAUAUCGAGAGAUCAAAGGAGCAAUUCGCUUAAGGAGGGGGUCGCGGCUGAUUAGCUAGUUGGUGAGGUAAUGGCUCACCAAGGCUAUGAUCAGUAUCCGGCCUGAGAGGGCGCACGGACACACUGGAACUGAAACACGGUCCAGACUCCUACGGGAGGCAGCAGUGGGGAAUUUUGCGCAAUGGGGGAAACCCUGACGCAGCAACGCCGCGUGGAGGAUGAAGUACCUUGGGACGUAAACUCCUUUCGAUCGGGACGAUAAUGACGGUACCGGAAGAAGAAGCCCGGCUAACUUCGCGCCAGCAGCCGC
Molecule: ribosomal RNA, 459 nt
Filed under: uncultured bacterium
Lineage: Bacteria
Description: SSU rRNA
Rfam family: Bacterial small subunit ribosomal RNA
Source: RNAcentral